GUGCUGGUGGUGUAGGGGUUAAGCGCGCGACCAUUUGCAGGGGCUAUAAUCCUUGAUGUGGCUGUCCCGGGUUCAAGUCCCGGAGCUGGCGACC
Non-coding RNA from Ataeniobius toweri, 94 nucleotides. Lineage: Eukaryota; Metazoa; Chordata; Actinopteri; Cyprinodontiformes; Goodeidae. The record is from the annotation of a GenBank genome assembly.